AAAAUCGAUACACACACUGCCUCAGCUCCCUUUUUCUCCUUGUGAAUGUCGCAGCCCCUCUCUCUCUCUCUCUCUCUCUCCAAACCACCUCACCCCAACACCGUCGCCCAUACAGAAUCUAAUCAGUCUAAAUUAGACAAUCCAGAAGCCGAUUUCGCCUUCGCCGACUUCAUCCUCCUCGGUGGCGUCUUCGGCGACCCUAACGUGUUCAAAGCAAUCACUGAUGGAGGCUCAUCGACUAUUGCAGAUGGGAAACCAGAGGCCGCGGCUGAGAUCCUCAAUCGCCUGACCCAGGUGACCAAUCCGAGACCCAGUUCCGAGCAGAGGCUGCUUGAGUUCGUGACUUCGGCGUUGAAGUCACGGGUCAAUCAGAGACCCAAACCCUCAUCCUCCCCGAAGCUUGUAGACCCCUCCCCCUCCCCCGCCGCCCCCAACCCUCUCCGCGAGGCCGAGGACCUCAUCCGCAAUGCCAUUGAGGAGCUCCAGCGCUGCCAGCACUCCGUCGCAAUGGAGGCGAGCAUCAACGAUACCUAGUAAGGUUUUGUUUGCUGUUUGGUUUCGUAUGGGUUACUAUUUUCUUGGUUUCAAAGUUGUUGCUAUGUAGUUGUUAUUCAAGUUGUAGCCAUAUGGUAGAUGAAGAAUGACUUUAGUACUUGGAGUUUGAUGAUGGUUGUGAGUUGGGACUUGGUUCAAGUGUGGCAGUUUGUAUUUGGAUUUGUAGGCAAUUGUCGUAGAAUCAGACUGCCUAGUGUCCCCACUUCCUAUUCGCAGUAUGCUCUUUAUGAUCUCAGCUUAUGAUUCCUUGUUUUUAUAUGGUGAUGUUGAUGUAGAUGCUUAGUAUAGGCAAAAUGGGGCUUGAUCAUGGUUGUAUUUAUUUCACUUUGUAAUGUGUAUAUGCAUGUCUUACAUACAAUCUAGGAUUAAUAUAUGUUCAUAAUGCAGGUUGGGAAAGCUGGUGGUAAGAAAUGAAAGUCAAUGACUGCUACUGAAAAAGCUCCCCAUGUCGAAAAAGCAUUAAAGAGGAAGGCCGAGCAUGGAAUAGCUGUGAAGGAAUAUGAGAAGAAGCAGGUAAAUAUUCUGUCUGUUUUUGGUUUCAUGUUCAUUCAUUGCAGUUACUUGAAUGCCAAAGCUUACUUAGCCUCUCUUGCUAGACUUAGAAGCAAAGAAUGAAUUGGCUUUCAUGAGUAAGUUCUUUUAAGCAGACACUGGCCAUAAUCUUAUUUUGAUGUAAACAAGAGGUGUGUGGACAUACAACUGGAAAUAUCACAAUUCUUUUGCAACUGCAGACCAACUUGUUCAUCCUUUGAUCAAUGGUUAAUGUCUUCUGCUUCUUUAGUUUUGUUUCUUAUGUGGGGAAUUUAAUUGCAUUUGCAUGUCAAAUUUGGGGGGAUUUGGAGGAAGAUCACUUGUUAGACUUGCAUUGGAGAAGAUGGUGAAGUUUCAGCAUUAUGAGUUCUCAUUUUAGGAUCAGUUUAAGGAAUUGAUCCUAUCAAGCAGCGUUGAGUCCUAGCCAGGAUAGCUAGCUGGAGCACAAACUUUAAGGAUUCGUGUGAUAUUGUGAUAAUGUUCAUUAUAUCGGUUACAAGGACUCGGAUGGAAACUCUUUUAAUGAGAUUGAUGCAUGGGCUAAUCAUAUCCAUAAAUUAUGGAGAAGGUAUUUCCUUAGAUCCAAGCUGAUAUUGAUGAGAUCAAGGAGUACGUGGGCUAAGUUUGUCGUAGCCAAGUAUAUGUCGGAGCUUGUACGUUUUCAUUCAAUAGGUACUAGGAGUAAAGAGCUUUGGAUAUUUGAAUACUUGAAUGAUAUGGUUUAUGGAUCUUUUGGUAUGAUCACUACUUUUAGUAUUGGCUUUUA
RNA transcript from Argentina anserina (silverweed cinquefoil), 1852 nucleotides. RefSeq lists it as uncharacterized. The record is from RefSeq and is a predicted model, not a curated record. NCBI's taxonomy places the organism in Eukaryota, Viridiplantae, Streptophyta, Magnoliopsida, Rosales, Rosaceae. The transcript is spliced from 4 exons.